RNAcentral lists this ribosomal RNA (270 nucleotides) under uncultured archaeon. Its description in RNAcentral is "partial 16S ribosomal RNA". It matches the Rfam family "Archaeal small subunit ribosomal RNA", at positions 477 to 747 of the family's 1478-position model. The record is from RNAcentral.
CUGCAGCUCAAGUGGUGACCACUAUUAUUGGGCCUAAAACGUUCGUAGCCGGUUUGGUAAGUGCCUGGGUAAAUCGUGUAGCUUAACUAUACGAAUUCCGGGUAGACUGCCAAACUUGAGACCGGGAGAAGCUAGAGGUACUCCUGGGGUAGAGGUGAAAUUCUGUAAUCCUGGGGGGACCACCAGUGGCGAAGGCGUCUAGCUAGAACGGGUCUGACGGUGAGGAACGAAGCCCUGGGGCGCAAACCGGAUUAGAUACCCGAGUAGUCC